RNAcentral lists this ribosomal RNA (208 nucleotides) under Klebsiella pneumoniae. RNAcentral's name for it is "partial 16S ribosomal RNA". It matches the Rfam family "Bacterial small subunit ribosomal RNA", at positions 192 to 388 of the family's 1533-position model. Lineage: Bacteria; Pseudomonadati; Pseudomonadota; Gammaproteobacteria; Enterobacterales; Enterobacteriaceae. The record is from RNAcentral.
GUCGCAAGACCAAAGUGGGGGACCUUCGGGCCUCAUGCCAUCAGAUGUGCCCAGAUGGGAUUAGCUAGUAGGUGGGGUAACGGCUCACCUAGGCGACGAUCCCUAGCUGGUCUGAGAGGAUGACCAGCCACACUGGAACUGAGACACGGUCCAGACUCCUACGGGAGGCAGCAGUGGGGAAUAUUGCACAAUGGGCGCAAGCCUGGUG